CAAAGGAGCAAUCCGCUGAGAGAUGGGCUCGCGUCCGAUUAGAUAGUUGGCGGGGUAACGGCCCACCAAGUCGGCGAUCGGUAGCCGGACUGAGAGGUUGAACGGCCACAUUGGGACUGAGACACGGCCCAGACUCCUACGGGAGGCAGCAGUGGGGGAUAUUGCACAAUGGGGGAAACCCUGAUGCAGCGAUGCCGCGUGAGUGAAGACGGCCUUCGGGUUGUAAAGCUCUGUCGCAGAGGACGAAAAUGACGGUACUCUGUAAGAAAGCUCCGGCUAACUACGUGCCAGCAGCCGCGGUAAUACGUAGGGAGCAAGCGUUGUCCGGAAUUACUGGGUGUAAAGGGAGCGUAGGCGGGAGGAUAAGUUGAAUGUGAAAUCUAUGGGCUCAACCUAUAGCUGCGUUCAAAACUGUUCUUCUUGAGUGAAGUAGAGGCAGGCGGAAUUCCUAGUGUAGCGGUGAAAUGCGUAGAUAUUAGGAGGAACACCAGUGGCGAAGGCGGCCUGCUGGGCUUUUACUGACGCUGAGGCUCGAAAGCGUGGGUAGCAAACAGGAUUAGAUACCCUGGUAGUCCACGCGGUAAACGAUGAUUACUAGGUGUGGGUGGACUGACCCCAUCC
RNAcentral lists this ribosomal RNA (621 nucleotides) under uncultured bacterium. RNAcentral describes it as "bacterial SSU rRNA". It matches the Rfam family "Bacterial small subunit ribosomal RNA", at positions 202 to 842 of the family's 1533-position model. The record is from RNAcentral.